GCUGCUUGCAAGGCAAACACCUCUGUGCUAUCUCUCCGGGCCCCCCUCUUCCAAAUUUUUAAGCCUCCUUGAAUUCCAGGUCUGUAAUCUUGGUGGACAAUACAGAGCUCUGUGUGUUCACUGUAAGGGCAGACAAAGACCAACAAGAUAAUCUUCCUACUUUUGAAUGAACUGUCUUUACUAGAGGCUGUUCUUCCAGUUGUCAGGGAGAAACUGGUAACUGGAGUGAGACAGUAGGGACUCGUAUAUUUGGGAAUCUGGGUAGGGCUCCUAAAGGACUUGGCUUGUGUUGUAACCACUGAGAGAUAAACACAGAUCUUUGGUAAUCUGAUGGCU
Small nucleolar RNA from Suncus etruscus (white-toothed pygmy shrew), 336 nucleotides. Lineage: Eukaryota; Metazoa; Chordata; Mammalia; Eulipotyphla; Soricidae. The record is from RefSeq and is a predicted model, not a curated record.